This 56-nucleotide ribosomal RNA is filed under the name Coronidium cymosum. Its description in RNAcentral is "partial 18S ribosomal RNA". Lineage: Eukaryota; Viridiplantae; Streptophyta; Magnoliopsida; Asterales; Asteraceae. The record is from RNAcentral.
UUGGAAGGGGAAUUCUUACCAAGGUUCCCGUAGGGGAACCUGCGGAAGGAUCAUUG